Molecule: long non-coding RNA, 456 nt
Organism: Lemur catta (Ring-tailed lemur)
Lineage: Eukaryota; Metazoa; Chordata; Mammalia; Primates; Lemuridae
Exons: 2
Source: RefSeq, a predicted model, not a curated record
CUUUGCUCCAGGAUCCCUACUCAUGGAGACCUCACAAAGGAGAAGUACAAAAGGACCAUCAGCGCUUCCUGCUUCUGCCGCCGCAAGGCCACGAAGAGCACCACCAGGGCUGCGCGACAGAUGGGGGCACACGGGCCGCUGAGCCGGCAGGGCCAGGGCGCCUGUCUCCACGCUGAACCACCCACCCAACAGGCCAUAGAGGCAGUGUGGCCCAGGGGGCUGCAAGCCCUAGUUUUGACAUCUGGCAAAUCUUACUUUGAAGCCUGACUUCGCCCCUUACUCGCUGUGUGACCAUGGGAAGUUGCUUAACUUCUCUGAACCCUUGGCUUACUUGUGUGGAAAACAGACUUACCUCUUAGGGUUGUUGACAAGAUAAAACGAAAGACCACAAGUGAUGUACCCAGCACCAUCCUUGGCACAGAGUAGGGGCUCAAUAAAUAAUUUUUAUGGCUUGUU